RNAcentral lists this long non-coding RNA (3759 nucleotides) under Anolis carolinensis (green anole). RNAcentral's name for it is "lncRNA (ENSACAG00000041608.1)". Lineage: Eukaryota; Metazoa; Chordata; Lepidosauria; Squamata; Anolidae. The record is from RNAcentral.
AUGGCUCCCGGUGGUGCGUUGUGGGUUCUGUCCAUGUGGAGAAGAAUCAAGAAGGCAGAGCCACACCACUCUUUAGCCCAAACAAACAGUGGGAAAUCUGAUUUACCUGAAGAAGCAACGAAACUGGCCUAUACCCGGGAAACCAGUCGAAACCAUCCCCGGCACCACAGAUCACUUGGCCAUCCCAGAUACCCUACAACGGAUUGGUAUCAACAUCUAAAAACAACAACCUAUUCAUUUGACCCUUAAGACAUUGAUGUAUGUCUGGUAUCCAGGAGCUACUCUGAGAAGAACUGAUAAAGAUGAUAUAUUAAUUACUUAACUGUCUUUUUCUACGCUUGAGAAUACCAUUAAAAUAGCAGUAGAUUCUGCUUGUUUUUCAUUUAUUUGAUUGGAUAAGAUUGUAACCAAUCUAGAGACUACAACAGUUUUAUGUGAAUACUUAUGUGAAGGGUUGUCUUGUUGUACAUAUAUAUGUUAAGAACUGUUUAUUUAUCUCGAUUCAACGCUGCGACAACUAUUUUGAGUGUUAUUAAGUCAACAAUAAGACUUUGUUAGGUUUUUAUUUUUAUUUGACAGAACAGACACUGAAACUAUAAAGAGGAAUAGUUUUUCCAGAAUAUCUGUGUAAGUGUUGCUGAGUGUAUUGCAUUUAUGUUAAGAAUCAUACUAAUGUAGUCAAAGUAAAUACAGGUAGUGGAUACCUAAAGUAAAAUAUUCAUUGUAAUAUAUAUUAUCAGUAAAUGUAAGAGAUUCUAGAGGGCUAUGUGUCAUGGGACCAAUUCCAAGAGCUGAGUUUGCAAGCUCUUGAAUCGGAGCCAUAACAAUUCGCACUCCUCUAUAGCUCCUACGGACACCUGGCAGCAAAGCAUGGGAACUUCUGGAGAGAGAAUCAAAACAAUUUUAAUGAAUAGUUUGUGUUGUAGUGAUGAUAAUGAUACAUGGGGUGGGGCUUGGGUGAUGAUAUUUACGUGUGGUGUGACGUUGUAACGAAGGUAAUAAAGAAGAUUGUAUGUAAACAUUAUGUCAUUCUCAACUUUCCCAAGUCGUGUGUUCUUCAAUAAAGAUUCCGUUUGAUAGCAGCUACCUUUGGUCUGUGUUCAUGUGGGUCGUUUGAAGUAAGCGUGACAGCUAUGAUCUACCACUGUUUCUAAUCAAAUCCAAUUUUGAUGGAUAUUAAUAAGAUACCAUAAUCCCCCUCUUUGGCAACUUGCAUAACAAGUGCCACUAAAAGUUGUUUAUAUAGAAGAAAUAUUACAUUACUAACAUAGUAUUCACACAUUACAUACCAUACUAUCCUUUUUAUGUUUCAUUCUGUAACAUCUCAGAUUGAUCCUUUUCCACAUUUAAGUAGAAUCCUUAGGAACAAAAUAAGAGUUGCUAUGAGUUUCUACACUUGUGCCGUCCGCCGGACAAUAAAAAACUAUAAAACUGAAACGUGCUGUCCUUUAUCCGGGCGAACUGCAAAUCCCUAUAAGCUGUCCUAUAGAUAUUGAACGACUGAGUCUGGAUAACUUCAAAAAAGGAUGUUUAUUCAUACAAGGUUGUAAACCUGGCACAGAUCUUAAAGUUGCAGAAAAUGAAACAAAUUUCCAUAGGUUUUAGUUGCAGAAUUAUCCCUGGUUCCAGAAGGCAAAAGUGAUUAUAAAACCACUAUACCCUAAUCACGCUGCCUAUAUUAGAAGGAGAAACUCUUUCCUUCCCUAUCUUUACAGCAAAGAUUAGUUCUAGAAGCGAUGGAAUAACUUUGCUCCUCUAACUAGAUUUCCUAUUCCAGAUCAAUAUAAUUCAAUACUUAUCUAAUUUGGAUAGGCUUAGAUUGGCCUGGUUUUGAGGAUGAUUUGUCCCAGUUAGCCUUGCACAGCUCCAGCACGUUGGAAGACUAUAGCCAGAAUGAAGCUCCAAAAUGGAGACUAGACCCUGGUAAAAAGGGCGGUCCUAAGAUGUUGCAUUCUUUGACCAAUCACUGCAAAGAAAACUGCAGCCAGCUCUUGCAGAUUCCAAGCCACUUUUCCUAGGCUAUUGCAGCCAGAGGCUCAAACAAAAUGUAAAGGAGGGAAAACAAACAAACGACCAAUAGGUAAGGCAAACCAUCGUCCUGGGGGACGGAACAACACUGAUUCCCUUCCCCACCCCAAAGAAGCCUGAAAGUGGGUCUCUCCUUUGUUCUUCCAUCUCUAACGUCCCCUAUGUUUCUCUUGGUAGCAGGGACAGCCUUAUCAUUGAGCUUUAGAUGUAGACGUCAUCUCAUUUUGGAUCUAAUCCAAAUGUGGGAGACAGGUAGAUUCAAGCAAGGAAGCCAUGGCCCCAACCCCGUAAGAGCUGAGUAAGGCUAUUGAGGAGAGGGUGGCCUGGAGGCUUCCUGUACACAGGGUCACCAUGAGUCAAACUCAACUUGAUGGCAGUUGACAGUGAUAAUCUCAGGCAGUAGAUUGGAGUGAGCUCUUCCCUUAGUCUUGCAGAGGCAAUUGCUUCAGGUCUCAGAGUUCUGGGUGGCAACUUUACACAUCUCAUUCCCACCCACCUGACCCGGGAAGACAGAAUUGGUUGGAUUUAGCAACCUUCUUCAAGCAUCCACUAGUAAUUUGUUUUGUAUAUUAUCCUGUUUGCUUAUUGUAUUGUAUAUGUAUGUUUUGGUAUGCAGUUUUCCCUUUACUCUGUUUUCUUGAGGUUGUGGGAGGGGCUGCAGACCACAUGAUCAGAGCUGGGACUAUUCAGAUCCCAGACUCCAUUUUAGAACACAGAGAGGCCAUUAGACUUUGGACUGUCAAGAGCAAACUCAUGUUGCAGUUGAUUAUAAGAAAAAUGCCCUGUGUUAUUUGCACAGAGAAACCACUUCUAAUCUAUCUGUAACUGGAUUGACAAGGUAUGUACCUGUAUAUAGACUACAUGAAGGCUGUGAGUAAACCAGAUAUGUUACUUUUAACGAAGUCUACUUGAAAGCAUGAUAUAGAAACAAGAUAUUUUAUGGAAAAGUAGAUGUUUUUGGGCAUUGAAAGAAAACACUUCUGAAGAACUGCUAUAUUUUGUGCAUUGGCAUAAUCUCUGUUCUUAACAGAUCAGAGACAACCAGGUUAUCAUUCUAACAACUGAAAACCAUAUUGCCUUGCAUAAUUACAUGUGGAUAUAUACUACCGAAGAGAAGAUUUUACUCAAAUGAGUUUAGCUGUUCUCAAAUAGAUCAUAUUUUCACAAAAUAUUAUGAUUUUCAAAUGGUUGUGAAUGCCAUUUUCUCCAAAAGCUUAUGGAGAUUCUGGUUUUCCAAAAGAAAUGGAAGCAAUAACACAGUCCCACCUCCCAAAACAAACAAACAAUGUCUUGGUGGGUUGUUGUGUGUAUGGCCAUGUUCCAACAGUAUUCUCUCCAUAGAGCCCAGAAAACACACAACAACCCUGUGAUUCUGGCCAUGAUAGCCUUCGACAACACAAUGUCUUGGUGUCUUGGUUUUUAGGCCUAGUAAAGGUUUCCCCCUGACAUUAAGUCUAGUCAUGUCCGACUUUGGGAGUUGGGGCUCGUUUCCAUUUCUAAGCCGAAGAGCUGGCCUUGUCCGUAGACGCCUCCAAGAUCAUGUGGCCGGCAUGACUACAUGGACCACCGUUACCUUCCCGCUGGAGUGGUACCUAUUGAUCUACUCACAUUUGCAUGUUUUUUAACUACUAGGUUGGCAGAAGCUGGGGCUAACAGCAGAAGCUCACACUGGUCCCCGGAUUUGGGCAAGUUCAGCAGAUCAGCGGUUUAACCUGCUGUGCCAUCGAGGGC